Unclassified non-coding RNA from Callithrix jacchus (white-tufted-ear marmoset), 149 nucleotides. It matches the Rfam family "Metazoan signal recognition particle RNA". From Rfam's summary of the family: The signal recognition particle (SRP) is a universally conserved ribonucleoprotein. It is involved in the co-translational targeting of proteins to membranes. Lineage: Eukaryota; Metazoa; Chordata; Mammalia; Primates; Cebidae. The record is from Ensembl.
GCUGGGCAUGGUGGUGCAUGCCUGUAAUCCCAGCUACUCGGGAGGCUGAGGCGGGAGAAUUGCUUGAACCCAGGAGACGGAGGUCGUGGUGAGGUGAGAUCGCGCCAAUGCACUCCAGCCUGGGUAACAAGAGCAAAAUUCCGUCUCAA